This is a long non-coding RNA of Heterocephalus glaber (naked mole-rat), 454 nucleotides long. RefSeq lists it as uncharacterized. The record is from RefSeq and is a predicted model, not a curated record. NCBI's taxonomy places the organism in Eukaryota, Metazoa, Chordata, Mammalia, Rodentia, Bathyergidae.
GCAUAGUUGGGGGGCGGGGAGCACCCGAGCCGCAGAGGGGGGUUCCUAUGGCGUUGCUCCGGGAAAGGGCUGCUUUGAUCGUGGGUGAAGCAGAAAGCCUUUCCUUGUCACAAUGGAUGAAAACCUUUACGUCUCUCAACUUCAUCUUCAAAGGACACCAAGUCCCUGAGCUUCAUUUCAUUCCUCUUUGGUCUUCUGAAGAGGGAGAAAUAGCUGGUGCUCACAGUCCCAGGCCCCGAGGUGCUGUUCCGAGAUGUCUUUGCUCCUGGUGUCUGAACAGACUGAGCCUUCAUUCCUGGCCUGGCACGGAGAUGAGAAGGAAUUUCUCCAGGAAUGUGGUACACCUCGGAACUCGGGAGUAACCAGAGAAGACUGUGUUGAUGUGGUGGUGCAUGCCUGUAAUCCCAGCACUCAGGAGGCUGAGGCAGGAGGAGUGCUUUGAGUUCAAGGCCAG